Molecule: ribosomal RNA, 433 nt
Filed under: uncultured bacterium
Lineage: Bacteria
Description: partial 16S ribosomal RNA
Rfam family: Bacterial small subunit ribosomal RNA
Source: RNAcentral
AACGAACGCUGGCGGCAGGCCUAACACAUGCAAGUCGAGCGAGCAUUUCGGUGCUAGCGGCGGACGGGGGAGUAACGCGUGGGAACGUGCCCUUUUCUGCGGAAUAGUCCUGGGAAACUGGGGGUAAUACCGCAUACGCCCUUUUGGGGAAAGAUGUAUCGGAGAAGGAUCGGCGCGCGUUGGAUUCGGUAGUUGGUGGGGUAAUGGCCCACCAAGCCGACGAUGCAUAGCUGGUUUGAGAGGAGGAUCAGCCACACUGGGACUGAGACACGGCCCAGACUCCUACGGGAGGCAGCAGUGGGGAAUCUUAGACAAUGGGGGCAACCGUGAUCAAGCCACGCCGGGUGAGUGAUGAAGGCGGUAGUGUUGUAAAGCUCUUUCAGCUGGGAAGAUAAUGACGGUACCAGCAGAAGAAGCCCCGGCUAACUCCGUG